GGAAGAACUAAAUCAAUUCCUUGCUUUGCUUUGCUUGUGUGUCAGGCUUCUCCUUUCCCUACUAAACAUUGUUUACCUCAACCCAUUAGUUUUGCAGCUUUUACCCUUCCAAUUCUCUCCCUGACCCCACUGGUGGGGGAGUGAGCCAGUGGUUGCGUUGGGCUUGGCUACUGCUGGGGUUGAACCACAACAGAAAGAAUCUCAUUCAUGGACACAACCUUGGACAAAUAUCUGUGUACCAAAAUACCUCAAAACCAAUGGAACUGUGUGAGGAAGACAGAACAACCAGAAAAUUACAACUUCCAAGAGACACUGUACAAAGACACUGUUUUCUCCUUUUCACUGUGGUGGAGCAAAACAUCGUGUGUUGCACAGUGACAUCUCCUGCUCUGCCCUGCUCUGCAAAACUCUCUACUCUGUCCAGCUGGGGCCCAAAGAAA
Molecule: long non-coding RNA, 440 nt
Filed under: Parus major (Great Tit)
Lineage: Eukaryota; Metazoa; Chordata; Aves; Passeriformes; Paridae
Description: lncRNA (ENSPMJG00000005595.1)
Source: RNAcentral